GGGUUGUGAGGUUAAGCGACUAAGCGUACACGGUGGAUGCCCUGGCAGUCAGAGGCGAUGAAGGACGUGCUAAUCUGCGAUAAGCGUCGGUAAGGUGAUAUGAACCGUUAUAACCGGCGAUUUCCGAAUGGGGAAACCCAGUGUGUUUCGACACACUAUCAUUAACUGAAUCCAUAGGUUAAUGAGGCGAACCGGGGGAACUGAAACAUCUAAGUACCCCGAGGAAAAGAAAUCAACCGAGAUUCCCCCAGUAGCGGCGAGCGAACGGGGAGCAGCCCAGAGCCUGAAUCAGUGUGUGUGUUAGUGGAAGCGUCUGGAAAGGCGCGCGAUACAGGGUGACAGCCCCGUACACAAAAAUGCACAUGCUGUGAGCUCGAUGAGUAGGGCGGGACACGUGGUAUCCUGUCUGAAUAUGGGGGGACCAUCCUCCAAGGCUAAAUACUCCUGACUGACCGAUAGUGAACCAGUACCGUGAGGGAAAGGCGAAAAGAACCCCGGCGAGGGGAGUGAAAAAGAACCUGAAACCGUGUACGUACAAGCAGUGGGAGCACGCUUAGGCGUGUGACUGCGUACCUUUGUAUAAUGGGUCAGCGACUUAUAUUCUGUAGCAAGGUUAACCGAAUAGGGGAGCCGAAGGGAAACCGAGUCUUAACUGGGCGUUAAGUUGCAGGGUAUAGACCCGAAACCCGGUGAUCUAGCCAUGGGCAGGUUGAAGGUUGGGUAACACUAACUGGAGGACCGAACCGACUAAUGUUGAAAAAUUAGCGGAUGACUUGUGGCUGGGGGUGAAAGGCCAAUCAAACCGGGAGAUAGCUGGUUCUCCCCGAAAGCUAUUUAGGUAGCGCCUCGUGAAUUCAUCUCCGGGGGUAGAGCACUGUUUCGGCAAGGGGGUCAUCCCGACUUACCAACCCGAUGCAAACUGCGAAUACCGGAGAAUGUUAUCACGGGAGACACACGGCGGGUGCUAACGUCCGUCGUGAAGAGGGAAACAACCCAGACCGCCAGCUAAGGUCCCAAAGUCAUGGUUAAGUGGGAAACGAUGUGGGAAGGCCCAGACAGCCAGGAUGUUGGCUUAGAAGCAGCCAUCAUUUAAAGAAAGCGUAAUAGCUCACUGGUCGAGUCGGCCUGCGCGGAAGAUGUAACGGGGCUAAACCAUGCACCGAAGCUGCGGCAGCGACGCUUAUGCGUUGUUGGGUAGGGGAGCGUUCUGUAAGCCUGUGAAGGUGUGCUGUGAGGCAUGCUGGAGGUAUCAGAAGUGCGAAUGCUGACAUAAGUAACGAUAAAGCGGGUGAAAAGCCCGCUCGCCGGAAGACCAAGGGUUCCUGUCCAACGUUAAUCGGGGCAGGGUGAGUCGACCCCUAAGGCGAGGCCGAAAGGCGUAGUCGAUGGGAAACAGGUUAAUAUUCCUGUACUUGGUGUUACUGCGAAGGGGGGACGGAGAAGGCUAUGUUGGCCGGGCGACGGUUGUCCCGGUUUAAGCGUGUAGGCUGGUUUUCCAGGCAAAUCCGGAAAAUCAAGGCUGAGGCGUGAUGACGAGGCACUACGGUGCUGAAGCAACAAAUGCCCUGCUUCCAGGAAAAGCCUCUAAGCAUCAGGUAACAUCAAAUCGUACCCCAAACCGACACAGGUGGUCAGGUAGAGAAUACCAAGGCGCUUGAGAGAACUCGGGUGAAGGAACUAGGCAAAAUGGUGCCGUAACUUCGGGAGAAGGCACGCUGAUAUGUAGGUGAAGUCCCUCGCGGAUGGAGCUGAAAUCAGUCGAAGAUACCAGCUGGCUGCAACUGUUUAUUAAAAACACAGCACUGUGCAAACACGAAAGUGGACGUAUACGGUGUGACGCCUGCCCGGUGCCGGAAGGUUAAUUGAUGGGGUUAGCGGUAACGCGAAGCUCUUGAUCGAAGCCCCGGUAAACGGCGGCCGUAACUAUAACGGUCCUAAGGUAGCGAAAUUCCUUGUCGGGUAAGUUCCGACCUGCACGAAUGGCGUAAUGAUGGCGGGCUGUCUCCACCCGAGACUCAGUGAAAUUGAACUCGCUGUGAAGAUGCAGUGUACCCGCGGCAAGACGGAAAGACCCCGUGAACCUUUACUAUAGCUUGACACUGAACAUUGAGCCUUGAUGUGUAGGAUAGGUGGGAGGCUUAGAAGUGUGGACGCCAGUCUGCAUGGAGCCGACCUUGAAAUACCACCCUUUAAUGUUUGAUGUUCUAACGUUGACCCGUAAUCCGGGUUGCGGACAGUGUCUGGUGGGUAGUUUGACUGGGGCGGUCUCCUCCUAAAGAGUAACGGAGGAGCACGAAGGUUGGCUAAUCCUGGUCGGACAUCAGGAGGUUAGUGCAAUGGCAUAAGCCAGCUUGACUGCGAGCGUGACGGCGCGAGCAGGUGCGAAAGCAGGUCAUAGUGAUCCGGUGGUUCUGAAUGGAAGGGCCAUCGCUCAACGGAUAAAAGGUACUCCGGGGAUAACAGGCUGAUACCGCCCAAGAGUUCAUAUCGACGGCGGUGUUUGGCACCUCGAUGUCGGCUCAUCACAUCCUGGGGCUGAAGUAGGUCCCAAGGGUAUGGCUGUUCGCCAUUUAAAGUGGUACGCGAGCUGGGUUUAGAACGUCGUGAGACAGUUCGGUCCCUAUCUGCCGUGGGCGCUGGAGAACUGAGGGGGGCUGCUCCUAGUACGAGAGGACCGGAGUGGACGCAUCACUGGUGUUCGGGUUGUCAUGCCAAUGGCACUGCCCGGUAGCUAAAUGCGGAAGAGAUAAGUGCUGAAAGCAUCUAAGCACGAAACUUGCCCCGAGAUGAGUUCUCCCUGACUCCUUGAGAGUCCUGAAGGAACGUUGAAGACGACGACGUUGAUAGGCCGGGUGUGUAAGCGCAGCGAUGCGUUGAGCUAACCGGUACUAAUGAACCGUGAGGCUUAACCUUACAACGCCGAAG
This 2925-nucleotide ribosomal RNA is filed under the name Escherichia coli. RNAcentral's name for it is "23S ribosomal RNA". It matches the Rfam family "Bacterial large subunit ribosomal RNA". Lineage: Bacteria; Pseudomonadati; Pseudomonadota; Gammaproteobacteria; Enterobacterales; Enterobacteriaceae. The record is from RNAcentral.